GCCAGGUCAGCGCUCCUCGGCUGAUCGGAAAACGCCUGGACGCGCGUUGCGCUGCCGCCUGAAAAGCGGAAGGUCGCCGGUUCGAUCCCGGCCCUGGCCA
Molecule: transfer RNA, 100 nt
Filed under: Mycolicibacterium brumae
Lineage: Bacteria; Bacillati; Actinomycetota; Actinomycetes; Mycobacteriales; Mycobacteriaceae
Description: tRNA-Phe
Rfam family: tRNA (bases 33-100)
About the family: Transfer RNA (tRNA) molecules are approximately 80 nucleotides in length. Their secondary structure includes four short double-helical elements and three loops (D, anti-codon, and T loops).
Source: RNAcentral